GCUCUCGUAGUGUAGUCCGGUCAAGCACUAAGCCCUCUCGAGGCUUAAACUCGGGUUCGAACACAUUAAGUUUAAAGAAACUUAUGCGCGAAAGUCCCGGCGAGGGCA
Molecule: transfer RNA, 108 nt
Filed under: Candidatus Woesearchaeota archaeon
Lineage: Archaea; Nanobdellati; Candidatus Woesearchaeota
Description: tRNA-Glu
Source: RNAcentral